CCUACGGGUGGCAGCAGUGAGGAAUAUUGGUCAAUGGACGAGAGUCUGAACCAGCCAAGUAGCGUGAAGGAUGACUGCCCUAUGGGUUGUAAACUUCUUUUAUAUGGGAAUAAAAUGUUCCACGUGUGGGAUUUUGUAUGUACCAUAUGAAUAAGGAUCGGCUAACUCCGUGCCAGCAGCCGCGGUAAUACGGAGGAUCCGAGCGUUAUCCGGAUUUAUUGGGUUUAAAGGGAGCGUAGGUGGGUUGUUAAGUCAGUUGUGAAAGUUUGCGGCUCAACCGUAAAAUUGCAGUUGAAACUGGCAGUCUUGAGUACAGUAGAGGGGGGCGGAAUUCGUGGUGUAGCGGUGAAAUGCGUAGAUAUCACGAAGAACUCCGGUUGCGAAGGCAGUUCACUGGACUGUAACUGACACUGAGGCUCGAAAGUGUGGGUAUCAAACAGGAUUAGAUACCCCUGUAGUC
This 460-nucleotide ribosomal RNA is filed under the name uncultured bacterium. RNAcentral describes it as "partial 16S ribosomal RNA". It matches the Rfam family "Bacterial small subunit ribosomal RNA", at positions 338 to 795 of the family's 1533-position model. The record is from RNAcentral.